CGGCAUACUGUUCAGAAACCCUUUUAAAAUCUAACCGGUGGAAGGGAAUAACCCCGGGAAAUUGGGAAUAAUACCCUAUAAACUAUGGAGGUUGGAAUGCGUUGUAUUCAAAAGGCCCGCCGCCACAGGAUGGUUCUGCGGCCAAUUAGGUUGUUGUUGGGGUAACGGCCCACCAAGCCUGUAAUCGGUACGGGUGGUGGAAGCAAAACCCCGAAAAUGGAUUCUAAAACACAAAUCCAAACCCUACGGGGCGCAGCAGGCGCAAAAAUUUUGCAAGGCGGAAAACCGUGACAAGGAAAUUCUGAGUGCCCGAAAAAUCGGGUUGCCCACCACUUUAAAUCACUGGUAAAAAAAGGGCCGGGAAAAACCGGGGCCAGCCGCCGCGGUAAUACCGGCGGUUCGAGUGGGGGCCAUUAUUACUGGGUUUAAAGCGUUCGUAGUUGGUUUGUUAAGUCCCUGGGAAAAUCUUCCGGUUUAACCGGAAGGCUUCUCAGGAAUACUGGAAAACUAGGAACCGGAAGAGGGGAGGGGUACUCCAGGGGAAGAAGUGAAAUCUUGUAUUCCUUGGGGAACCACCUGUGGCGAAGGCGCCUCACCAAAACGCCUCCAACAGGGAGGAACAAAAGCUGGGGAAGCAAACCGAAUUAAAUACCCGGUUAGCCCCUGUUGUAAACGAUGCGCGUUAGGUGUAUCAUUGACCACAAGUCACUGAGGUGCCAAAAAGAAAUCAUGAAACUUGCCGCCUGGGAAGUACGGCCGCAAGGCUGAAACUCAAAUGAAUUGACGGG
This 788-nucleotide ribosomal RNA is filed under the name uncultured archaeon. RNAcentral describes it as "bacterial SSU rRNA". It matches the Rfam family "Archaeal small subunit ribosomal RNA", at positions 79 to 872 of the family's 1478-position model. The record is from RNAcentral.